GUGUUUUAUGUCUGGCCUCUGUCUGUAAUGGUAGGUGAAGAGUAUUGUUUAACGCUUAUAUAAUAGUAAUAAUAGCUAGACUAUUAAUUAGUCUCAAUGAAUAUUAAACUAAACCUUAACGAUAAUAAUGCUAGGUUUCAUCGAAGGAAAAUAGAAUCGUUAAAAGUGAAGCGCUACCCGAGUUUGGAAUCAUCACUUUAACAAGUGAGUGCAUAGUUACUUUCAUCUUACACAUAGAUAUGAAGUAUUUUAUAUAAAUUACGUACUAUGUGUGUAUACCGUCUGAAUACUUGUUGUCUAUGUUGGAUGAAACAUUUUAUACAUGUUCUUAAAUGAUCUAAACUGUAUAUGUAUUUUAUAUCUACAAAAUUUGUUAGGUAAAACAUGGGUAGAUUAGAGGUGAGAUAAAUGAUGAGCGAUGAAAGAUGAGAUAAAUGAUGAGCGGUGAAAGAUGAUAUGAAUGAUGAGCGAUGAUAUAUGAGUGAUAAAAUAUAAUGCAAAGCGAUGAACUAAGCGAUGAGCCAAAAACAAUGAGCCAAAACGAUGAGCCAAAGCGAUGAGCCAAAAACGAUGAGUCAAAACGAUGUGCCAAAAGAUGACCCAAGCGAUAAACCCGUCAUCUAGUAGAGUAUGGAUGACAACCAUGGACUAUUCUAGACAGUCUAGUGGAACACUAGCAGGCUUGCAACCUGUAGGUGUUGUGAACGAUGUGUUCACCCGGUGUACUCUAAAAACCCAUAGACUGGUAUUGCGAGUGGACUCUCGAAAACGAUAUUGUCAAUAAACGAGAUAAACCUUGGCGACUAUGCAGACUUAGUGUCGAUUCCUUAGGAUACUCCUGAGGAAUGAAUGAACGAUGAAUAGUUGAAUCUUAGGGUAGAUCCUUAAGAGUAAAGAAAAUAAUAGGGAUGGGUAAUUGGGUUGAUUGUUUGAUGUUUAAUAUAAUAAUUAUAUUAUUGUGGGUUGAAAACCUAUGUACUCACCAGGUUUUCCAACCUUACCCACUUAGUUUAUUUAUAGCACAGGUGUUGAUAUGAAGUUAAAUUACACUGAGAGAUUAAGGAGAUAUAAAUCACUAGUGAUAAUGAAUGUACGUUAUGUUUAUGUUUAUGGUACUGUAUUGACGACGACAUUCCAAAUGUUUUAAAAUGAAUAAAAAUAUUUUUCUUCGGAAAUGCUUUGAUAACGUAUUUAUCAUAUUUUACUGAGAACAAAUUCCGCAACAUUUUUAUUGAAAGAGAUACUAUGAUUUUUAUAAAGCAUAAAAAAAAUCGGUCUUUUUUUGCCGUGAAAAUGGGGAUCUCACAGUUAACCCCGAACAAAACCUACCACCUUUUCUGCAUCACUUAGCGGAAAUCCAACAUUAGUUUGUCAUGAUUCUGAAUGAAGAUCUCGAUAAGUUCAAUGAUUUUUAUGUGAGUUUGUCGUCCGACUUCUGGUUUUUGGUUUUGUGACUUUUCUAUAUUUGUUCAAACAUACGUAGAAACUGAUACUUCCAAGUUUCAUUCCAAUCGAGCCCUAAUAUCCGAAACUCCCAGGUAUUAUCAAUUCUCUGAGGCCACAUCUGAUUAUACAAAGAAGAUGUAACCUUCAUUCGUAAAUAUGUUAUGUCAGACGGAUGAGAUUUUUCAAAAGUCUUGAAUGGCAACACUUGUUGGAUGAUCUUUACUUAUGGAAACAAGUCAGGUACUAUCAAUUGCUUGAUAAAUAUACUAGUUCUAGCCUACUUCUAACAGGUGAGAAAAAUGGAUUUACUGUUAAAACAUAAAUAUGUUUCUUUUUUUUUUACUUAGUGAAUUUAAGAGGGACAUGACACUAUCAAUACAAUUAAGAUCAUAUUUACUGAUGCCUCCAAUAUGCCAAGGCCCGAAUUCAGUCAAAAAAUACUAAUAACAUCAUACAACAAUGUUAAAGUUCAAUGCACCCUAUAUCGAGGAUGACUAAUUCAUACUUGAUUUUGCAUUACUGCUUAAAUUAUUAUGAAAUAUUAAGUUGCCAUGACAUAUUCCAUUUGUGUUCUUUGUCUAUUUCUUUUACAACAAUCAAAAAUAAUUUUAUCUUACAGUAGCUUCUUUCUUUAGUACAGAAGAAAUUAAGUAGAUAUAGACAUACAAUCCAUGAUCCAGUCAAGAAAACCAACACCAACAGGAAAACCAACACGCUUGUUAUUUUUGAGGAAUGAUUUCAUCAACACGGUGUUGGUGCUUAAAUAUGAUAGAUAUUAGUUAAUUAAUUAUUAACAAUUUAGUUUAAAAUAUGAUUAUUUAUUAUUGUAUAAUAUGGUUUGUUUUGUUUGUGUAGUGAAACGGUUGUCGAUGAUAGCUUUGGUUAUCUUGAUGCAUCCACCAAUGCCUACAUGACUGCAUUGUCUUUAACGGUAUAUAUGCAAUUUAGAAUCUUUAUUAUAUCAUCAUAUGUUGAUUGUUGAUUUUAAUAGUUUAUUUUUUUCAAGUUAAAAAGUAUGUUGUUAUUUUUAAUUAUUAUAUAUUUUUUUUCAAGUUGAAAGCAUGUUGCUCUUAAUUCCAUGAUAAGGCUUGAUGUUUAAUUAUGUGUAAACUUAAUUAUUGUUGCUUUGUAGGUUGUUGUUGAUCGUAUGCGUAAGAAGAUGAAGAGAUUAAGGCGGAAUGUGAACAAGUUUUGGCAGAAAAACAAGAAAUUUUCAAGAUGUAUAACGACAUUAAUUUUAUAACUCACCCAAUGAAGUAAACUGUCCACCUUGUUACUUGAUUUUUAUGAUUUGGUUUCGAUAUUUUGAAAUCGAUUUAAUCUUUGACACUUGAUUUUUUUAUUUGGUUUCAAUAUUGUGAAAUCGAAUAUGAGUAUAUAUUUUGCUUGUCAAUAUUAAUAUUUCAUUUAAUGCUUGCAAUAUAGUUUUAGCUUUAAAUUUCUAUGAAUUUUGGUUAUUAAAUUAAUACAUGAAAACUAAUGAUACAAAUAUCAUCACAAUUAGCAACAGAAGCUACCGACCCUUUUAACAAUUUGCGACAAGUGAAUCGGUAGCUAAUCCCUCGUUAAAUCCGUCACGAUUUCGUCGCUGACAUUUAGCGAGCAAGGUUUUUUCUUCGGGCAUAUUCCGUCGCUGAAGGUCUUCAGUGACGGAUUAGCGACGGAAAUGUCCAUCGCUGAUGCCUCUGUUUCUAGUUGUCUUGUGGUAGUUGUCUCUACCAGAGAAAAAUGCAAUUUGAUUGUCGAAGGUUUUUUUAGAGGUGAAUACACACCGAAUGCGUCUACUGGGUGGAGAAGGUGCUCUAAGAGGCGAGGCUUUUGUGACGACGGUAUUAAUGGCUACACAACUUUUUAGCGGCGAUAGGAGAAAGGUGUGGAGGGAAGUUUUCCUAGACAUAUUUCUGGGAUUUUAGCGGUAGCAGGCUGUCACCGCUAAUUCUAGAGUACAAAUGAAAUGCUAGCCAUAGGAUCCAUUACACUGUCAACAGUCAGGGUUAUCGCGCAAACGAAGCACACAGAUUGGGGUUUACUAUCCGUAGAGGUGACGCCUUUAACGUCAAUACCACAAAUGGCGGCGACAUUUAAACACGUUGACUAAAAAGUCACCGCUAUUGGUGUAAUCGUCGCCAAAGGCAUCGCCGUUAUAGCAGCGAUUACUUGUAGUCAAAUUUCCGGGCAUACAUUUUACUUGAACCAAAAGGGUAUUGGGUAUUUGCGAUUUCUUGGUGGAAACUCUUUUUUUUUGGUUCAUAGCUUUUUCUCAUGUAUGCCUUUAGAACAUGUGAAGCAUGUGACAUGUAUAUGAGUAUAUAACAUAUAUGGUUACGUAUCCAUCGAUAUGCUGUAGAUGCUUGUACUAUUGCAUGCGUUUUCCCAUUAUGUGUGUAUAGGCUACAUGCAACUUCGAAAGGGUCAAAUCUUGUGGUAUGUUGUUACCGCUUAUACUUGAUAAGGUAGAAUGUGUUCGGUACCCUCUAGAUAUAAGAAUCUUGGAUCUAGCAAAAAUAGUUGAGCGAAAAGGAAAAUAAAUGGAAUAAUUUUUAUGUAAGUUUUCAGUUUCAAUAUAUGAUUUUGCUAUAUAGUAUUUUUUAUAAAUAUUCCUACUAAUGAUUUUGGUUCAGUCAGCUUCAUUAUUUAUAUUCCUUUGAUGAAACAUCUACGUACACAUUUAAUUAAAAAUCAAAUGUAUGUUGAAUUGGAAUAAAAGGUACAAUGAAGUAACAAAUAUUAACAAAAGAAAUAAAAGAGAUAAUUAAUAGGAAAACAUCCUUGAUUCAUUGAUUGAUACUAUUCCUUACAUAAUUAAUAGAAAAACUAAACACGCCACGAAACAAUAAUCAUCUUUUAAAAAAUUGCUCGUCAACAUAUUAAAAGGGAAACUUCCAUAAACAAUUCCAACUUCAAAAGCAUUUUCUGAACUGACAUUUGCUUCAUCGAUCGGUCCAUCAACUUAGCCCUGCAAAAUUCAGGCAUGCAUAAGCACUUGAACGAGUACUUCAAGGUAUUUUAGACAUUUAUCUUGUUCACUAAUUUGUUUAAGCCUUGUAUUGAAUCAUAUAUAUCUUAAGAAGCAUUCAUGGUAUAAGCCACGAAUUUAGCUCCAACAAUAUUGUCAUGUAGGAGACCACACUCAAUGUCCAAAAAGGGCUUAAUUACAAAAUUAUAGAAGGAUUUUUCUUGUUAAAGAAAAGGAAAAUCAAGAAUUUAGUUUAGGGUUCGGUGUAAAAUACGAAAGAUAGAAAUUUACCUUAGUAGAGACCAUCAUAAUUUAGAGAGAGCAAGUGUAACCCGGAGGAGGGGUCUUGCCACAAGUAACAAGCAGCUGUAGAGCAAUUGGUAGGUAAAUAUUGAGGUUCAACAGUUUAACCUUCAAGGUUGUGCACAAGCAAACUGCAGCCUCUAGCUCUGCUAGCCCUGCUAUAAUCGGGCAACAUUUGUUGACCGCGGGGUCACCCAAUCCAAUGUUCACUAAACCUCCUAAAAGGUCUACACAAGCUCCCAACUUUAGGAUGUCAAUGGGGCAUGUUUCCGAUGCACCCGGCGGUGAUGCAACUGGUGGUGAUGCACCCUUUGGUGGUGGACAGGGUUCCCCCUCUGGUGGUGUGACAACCGGUGGAGUGACAACCGGUGGUGUGACGAUGGGUGGGACGACCGGCGGGAGGGGUGGGAGUGGGAGGGGUGGGAGUGUCACUGGCGGUUUAAUUGGUGGGANNNNNNNNNNNNNNNNNNNNNNNNNNNNNNNNNNNNNNNNNNNNNNNNNNNNNNNNNNNNNNNNNNNNNNNNNNNNNNNNNNNNNNNNNNNNNNNNNNNNNNNNNNNNNNNNNNNNNNNNNNNNNNNNNNNNNNNNNNNNNNNNNNNNNNNNNNNNNNNNNNNNNNNNNNNNNNNNNNNNNNNNNNNNNNNNNNNNNNNNNNNNNNNNNNNNNNNNNNNNNNNNNNNNNNNNNNNNNNNNNNNNNNNNNNNNNNNNNNNNNNNNNNNNNNNGGUGGUUUUAUUGGUGGGAGGGUCACUGGCGGUUUUAUCGGUGGGAGGGUCACUGGUGGUUUAACCGGUGGAAGGGUUACUGGUGGUUUUAUCGGUGGGAGUGUCACCGGUGGUUUUACCACUGGUGGAAGGGUGACGGGUGGUUUUACUACAGGUGGUAGGGUAACUGGUGGCUUUACGGGUGGUAGGGUAACUGGUGGCUUUACCGGUGGUUUGACAACCGGUGGUUUUUCGGUGGGUGGUUUUGGCUUGUCACAACUUCCACAGUCAAGAACUGGAUUUGCUGAAGAAACCAUGAACAGUGAAAUGAAGAAAAGAGCGGUAAGCCUCUUAGAGGACUCCAUUUUUGAUGGAUGUAAUGUGAAGUGAUGUGAAGAAGGGCUUAUAUAGAACUGCAUGAGUGUUUUACAUUUUACUUUUU
RNAcentral lists this long non-coding RNA (5849 nucleotides) under Lactuca sativa (garden lettuce). Its description in RNAcentral is "long non-coding RNA (LSAT_LNC008167)". The record is from RNAcentral. Lineage: Eukaryota; Viridiplantae; Streptophyta; Magnoliopsida; Asterales; Asteraceae.